RNAcentral lists this long non-coding RNA (2683 nucleotides) under Gallus gallus (chicken). RNAcentral describes it as "lncRNA (ENSGALG00010008982.1)". The record is from RNAcentral. Lineage: Eukaryota; Metazoa; Chordata; Aves; Galliformes; Phasianidae.
GGGAACACACAGCAGUUUGCCCCUCAUCAGAGUAAGCACAUCAGACAUUACUUGCACUAACUGCAAUCAUUUCAGAUUCUAUGAAGCUGUGGGGAAAUGUGUUCAUCACACCACUGUACAAUCUACAGAGAUUUCAUUUGGAAGGAAUCCCGUCGAGGUGGUUUGUUUUCUUUCUUUAAUAUCUGCAACAGUCAGAAAAGUGAUGCGAUGCCUGUUCAGCACUACUCAUCAGGAGAAUAGUCUCUAAGAACUGAUGACUUCAAUGAUGGGAACAAGAUGUAAACUUCACUAAAUGUCAUGCGGCCAAAAUAUAACUGUCCUCAGAGCCUCAGAAUGGAAGCAUGAAAUGAACUCUAUGCCCACAAAUAGAUCUCUAUCCGUGGAAUUCCAAAUGGGAUGAAUUCUUCCUCUAGAUUUCAUGGAACUUUCACUGCUGAGUUAUUAUGAUUAGGGAUAGAAUCUGGAACCAUAGAGGUGUUAAAAAAAAAAAUCAAAACAAAAUGCAAUCUUGCAGUAGCAAGAUCGAAGUAGCAAUGCCCCCAAAUACCCCUUUAUGCCUACUUUUCCACCUUUGCAUUUUCCUCCAGAACCACACUAUUUCCUUUUAGUUUGCAUCAGUGGAUACUGCAUAAAGCAGAUAUCAUCAGUAUGUCAUUUAACAAAAUUAUCAAAGGAAAACAUAUACUCUAACACUCUCUAACACUACUGUUCAUUUUGAGAUUGUCUGUAUUAAGAAUGUCUUCCUAAGAUUAUAUACAAAAGAAUUAAUUCUGUGACCACACAUAAAUGAUUCACACCAGCUAAAGUUAGGAUAUGUUGUUAGACUCCUCAUAUCAGGAGAUCCUAUUAAAAUUCAUGAAUUACCUAUUAAAGAUUCUGUACAGUAGACAUAUCAAAGAAUCUGUAUUUUAACAUACACAACUACAUCUGUUUUCUAUUUUAACUUGUUGCCAUAUGAUAAUAUUUUCUUAGCCACUGGUGUCUGGGGAGAAGUUGCUGUUCCCACUGUAAAUGUUUCCAUUAUAAAUACUAUUUUAACAAGUGCAUUAACUACAUUAGACCACUUUAAUAAGUGUCAGAUUUAACCUGUGGGCUCUACUCAUUUCAGUUACACAGCAUGUAACUCAUGUUCCCAUUUGCUUUGAAUAAUAAAGCUACAUAAUCCAGAGAUCCAUUGGAGUAUACAAGCGUGGUAGUUUCCCAUCCAGAUAAUUAUGUGCAACUCAAAUUACAUUCCAUUAGCACGUUGGCUAGCUGAUCAUGGAAAAUGGGAUGUACUCAGCCAGAAAGGGUAGGAGCAGUCCAAAUGAACAACUUUAAUAUGUGCAAAGACAAAGGAGAUUCAAAGCACUGAUAUUUGCAUUUUAGAGUGAGUGAUAUAGUGCAAACCCACAUCUUUUCUCCUUUAGUAUUUGUUUUAUUUCCCUAGUAUUUUAGGGGUGGAUGCAACUACAGUUCAAAUGUAUUACUUCAAAUAUAUAAUAUAUUGAACUUGCCAGGAGAUGAGAGACAUCUUUGAGUGGUGAUACAGCCUAAGCCAGGAAAUGGAUGGGAAUCCUCAAAGCAACGCAUCUUUACUCAGUCAUGAUUCUGAGGUAUUUCUUCAAGCAGCUAACAUAGAAGCUGAUCAGCUUGUAUGGUUUCCGCACAUCAAUAUAACAUUUCUGCAUUACAAAGGUCACUGAUGCACGUAAACAUUAUGGCAAUUAUUGUGGAGUCUUUGUGUCUUCAGUUAAUUGGAACUAAGAGAGGAAAAGAGAAACUGUGAAACAGUAUUACGAGACAAUUCUUGAAAUUAAAAUAUUUGGGAGGAAGCUUGGAUGAAAUUUUUGUGUAAGAUUGUUCUGAAAUACUAGUGAAACUAUAUACUGCACUGUAGAAAGCCUAUAGAUACUAACUUGCAAUGACUUUUGAUUGGUGAGAAUGGAUGCAUAUUCCUAUGUAGCUAUAUAAAUGUAUCAUUGUAUGAAUCUGUAAUACUCGAUCUAAAAAAAAAAUCUCCACUUGAAAACUGUCACUUUUUUUCUUCUUUUUUUUUCCUUAUGCUCAGGUAAUCCAGUAUACACUCUCUACCUACAAUUUUACACACUUAAGCAUUAGGGUUUCUGAGCUUUGAAACAAGUAGCAAUCAGACCGAACCUCUUCUCUGAGAAGCCUUUGAUGACAUGUAGUAUUUAGGGAUAGAUAAAAUAUGUAUGUAUGUAAUGGAGUGCAACCCUUCCAAAUGAACACAGAUAUCAUCAUAAACAGCACUUCUUAAUAAAACCAUCAUGUGUACUGUGCAAAAAGAAAAAAGAUCUAGAAAUCAACAAUGCUCAGAAACGAAUGCAUUCACAUUUAAAUUAUCAGAGAUGUAGGGAAAGGAGUUGAUAGCAUCUGAGAAACUUGAAACAGUAAUGAGACAUGGCACAAUGGAGAACCAAGCCAUUAUAUAAGUUGUAUAAAGCAUUACCAAAAGGAGGAACAUAAACUGGGCAAAAAAAAUAUAGUUCUUCACAUAUGAGGCAUAGAAACCAUAGCAAUAAACACUACACUGAAAAAAAGUAUAUUUCUCUUUGAUAUUUACUACUACAAGAACGUAAAAAUGCAAUACUCCAUCAAAACUAAAAAGAUUUUACUUAUGUCUCUUCAGGCCAUUUUUCCUUCUGUGUAAAGUUUUCUUUGAUACGUUAUGGCAAUACUA